RNAcentral lists this ribosomal RNA (349 nucleotides) under Bannoa ogasawarensis. RNAcentral's name for it is "SSU rRNA". It matches the Rfam family "Eukaryotic small subunit ribosomal RNA", at positions 594 to 945 of the family's 1831-position model. Lineage: Eukaryota; Fungi; Basidiomycota; Cystobasidiomycetes; Erythrobasidiales; Erythrobasidiaceae. The record is from RNAcentral.
AUAGCGUAUAUUAAAGUUGUUGCCGUUAAAAAGCUCGUAGUCGAACUUCGGCCUUUGCUGCCCGGUCCGCCUUUUUGGGUGUGUACUGGAGCAGUGGAGGCUUACCUCGUGGUGAACAAUCAUGUCCUUUACUGGGUGUGGUUGGGAACCAUGACUUUUACUUUGAAAAAAUUAGAGUGUUCAAAGCAGGCUCACGCCUGAAUACAUUAGCAUGGAAUAAUAAAAUAGGACGUGCGGUUCUAUUUUGUUGGUUUCUAGGAUCGCCGUAAUGAUUAAUAGGGAUAGUUGGGGGCAUUCGUAUUCAAUUGCUAGAGGUGAAAUUCUUGGAUUUAUUGAAGACGAACUACUG